This 1523-nucleotide ribosomal RNA is filed under the name uncultured bacterium. RNAcentral's name for it is "bacterial SSU rRNA". It matches the Rfam family "Bacterial small subunit ribosomal RNA". The record is from RNAcentral.
UAGAGUUUGAUCCAGGCUCAGAAUGAACGCUGGCGGCGUGCUUAACACAUGCAAGUCGAACGAGAAAGGGACUGCUUGCAGUCCUGAGUAGAGUGGCGCACGGGUGAGUAACACGUAGAUNAUCUACCUUCAAUUUUGGGAUAACCAAACGAAAGUCUGGCUAAUACCGGAUAAAGUUGAUGUAUGAGAAUAUAUUAAUGAAAGUAUGCCUCUGUUAUAAGCAUAUGAUUGGAGAUGAGUCUGCGGACCAUUAGCUGGUUGGUAGGGUAAGAGCCUACCAAGGCGACGAUGGUUAGCUGGUCUGAGAGGAUGAUCAGUCACACUGGAACUGGAACACGGUCCAGACUCCUACGGGAGGCAGCAGUGAGGAAUUUUGCGCAAUGGGGUAACCCCUGACGCAGCAACGCCGCGUGAGUGAAGAAGGCCUUUGGGUCGUAAAGCUCUGUCAACUGGGAAGAAGUUACAGCAAUCUAAUAGGUAGUUGUAUUGACGGUACCAGUGGAGGAAGCGCCGGCUAACUCCGUGCCAGCAGCCGCGGUAACACGGGGGGCGCAAGCGUUAUUCGGAAUUAUUGGGCGUAAAGGGCGUGUAGGCGGUCUUAUCGGUCAGAUGUGAAAGCCCAGGGCUCAACCCUGGACGUGCAUUUGAAACAGUAAGACUUGAGUACGGGAGAGGAAAGCGGAAUUCCUGGUGUAGAGGUGAAAUUCGUAGAUNUUUGGNAGGAAACACAGUGGGCGAAAGCNGCUCANUGGCUCGAUACUGACGCUUAGGUGCGAAAGCGUGGGGAGCAAACAGGAUUAGAUACCCUGGUAGUCCACGCCGUAAACGAUGAGAGCUAGUCGUCGGGUAGCAUGCUAUUCGGUGACGCAGUUAACGCAUUAAGCUCUCCGCCUGGGGAGUACGGUCGCAAGAUUAAAACUCAAAGGAAUUGACGGGGGCCCGCACAAGCGGUGGAGCAUGUGGUUUAAUUCGAUGCAACGCGAAGAACCUUACCAUCCCUUGACAUCCAGAGAAGAGACUAGAGAUAGACUUGUGCCUUCGGGAACUCUGUGACAGGUGCUGCAUGGCUGUCGUCAGCUCGUGUUGUGAAAUGUUGGGUUAAGUCCCGUAACGAGCGCAACCCUUAUCCUUAUUUGCCAGCACAUCAUGGUGGGAACUAUAAGGAGACUGCCGGUGAUAAACCGGAGGAAGGCGGGGACGACGUCAAGUCAUCAUGGCCCUUACGACCAGGGCUACACACGUGCUACAAUGGGAAGGACAAAGGGUUGCUAAGCCGCGAGGUGGUGCUAAUCUCAUAAACCUUUUCGUAGUCCGGAUCGGAGUCUGCAACUCGACUCCGUGAAGUCGGAAUCGCUAGUAAUCGUAGAUCAGAAUGCUACGGUGAAUACGUUCCCGGGUCUUGUACACACCGCCCGUCAUACCAUGGGAGUGGGUUGCACCAGAAGUGGCUAGUCUAACUGUUUACAGGGGACGGUCACCACGGUGUGAUUCAUGACUGGGGUAAAGUCGUAACAAGGUAACCA